RNAcentral lists this ribosomal RNA (540 nucleotides) under Triticum aestivum (bread wheat). Its description in RNAcentral is "partial small subunit ribosomal RNA". The record is from RNAcentral. Lineage: Eukaryota; Viridiplantae; Streptophyta; Magnoliopsida; Poales; Poaceae.
AUGAAUGUGCAAGGUACAUUUGGGUACUUAGAUCCAGAGUAUUUCCAUACCAGGCAGUUGAACGGGAAGAGCGACAUGUACAGUUUUGGUAUGGUACUAGUGGAGUUGCUUCUCAGAAAGAAGCCUGUUUUUACAAGUGAAUCAGGCACAAUUAAGAAUUUGUCAAAUUAUUUUCUCCAGGAGUUCAAUGAGGGGAGAAUCACAGGUAUUGUUAAUUCUCAGGUCCUGGAGGAGGCAACCGAGGAAGAGAUCAACGGUGUCGCCUCUCUUGCAGAGCGAUGCUUAAGACUGUGUGGUGAAGAAAGACCCACCAUGAAACAAGUGGAGACCGAACUGCAGACCCUACGAGCAAAGUUGGUGAACUCAUAUCAAGCAAACCUUAGAAAUGAAGAGCAAAUACAACCAAGUUGGUUAACUCGAAGAUCUGGAGCCGAUCAUCAAUCUUCUGUGACGAUAUUGGACGUCAAAGCCGACGUGCAGUCCGGAGGCUGUUACAGCUUGGAGGUAGAGUUCAUGGCAUCUGCUAGCCUUCCACGCUAG